RNAcentral lists this long non-coding RNA (237 nucleotides) under Elaeis guineensis (African oil palm). Its description in RNAcentral is "long non-coding RNA (EGUI_LNC060147)". The record is from RNAcentral. Lineage: Eukaryota; Viridiplantae; Streptophyta; Magnoliopsida; Arecales; Arecaceae.
GGUGUGGAGGGAUCUGAAGAUGGGCUCGAGGUCAAAUAGGAUAUAAAAAAGAGAGAAAUUAACAUCCGGUCCAUUUGUUGAUCAGACUUUAUAACUUUUAAGCUCUACUGACUUUUUAUGUAACUUUCAGUCCACUUGUAAUGGGGCUUUAACUUUUACUCAUGAGACAAAAAUUCCCUCAAUUUAAUAGCAUACUUUCUUUCCAUUUUCCUGCAUAUGGUAAAGUUGGGGGGGGGU